Molecule: non-coding RNA, 29 nt
Filed under: Cricetulus griseus (Chinese hamster)
Lineage: Eukaryota; Metazoa; Chordata; Mammalia; Rodentia; Cricetidae
Source: RNAcentral
UGUACUAUUCGAGGACUUCAGGUAGAAAU